GCCUUCGUGGUGUAAUUUAAUAUAGUACACUCGGCUCGUAUUCGAGAGGUCAGAGGUUCGAGUCCCAGCUAGGGCA
This 76-nucleotide transfer RNA is filed under the name Stegodyphus mimosarum. It matches the Rfam family "tRNA". From Rfam's summary of the family: Transfer RNA (tRNA) molecules are approximately 80 nucleotides in length. Their secondary structure includes four short double-helical elements and three loops (D, anti-codon, and T loops). Further hydrogen bonds mediate the characteristic L-shaped molecular structure. tRNAs have two regions of fundamental functional importance: the anti-codon, which is responsible for specific mRNA codon recognition, and the 3' end, to which the tRNAs corresponding amino acid is attached (by aminoacyl-tRNA synthetases). tRNAs cope with the degeneracy of the genetic code in two manners: having more than one tRNA (with a specific anti-codon) for a particular amino acid; and 'wobble' base-pairing, i.e. permitting non-standard base-pairing at the 3rd anti-codon position. Lineage: Eukaryota; Metazoa; Arthropoda; Arachnida; Araneae; Eresidae. The record is from Rfam by way of RNAcentral.